This 468-nucleotide ribosomal RNA is filed under the name uncultured bacterium. RNAcentral describes it as "partial 16S ribosomal RNA". It matches the Rfam family "Bacterial small subunit ribosomal RNA", at positions 28 to 507 of the family's 1533-position model. The record is from RNAcentral.
GACGAACGCUGGCGGCGUGCUUAACACAUGCAAGUCGAACGGAAAGGCCCUGCUUUUGUGGGGUGCUCGAGUGGCGAACGGGUGAGUAACACGUGAGUAACCUGCCCUUGACUUUGGGAUAACUUCAGGAAACUGGGGCUAAUACCGGAUAGGAGCUCCUGCUGCAUGGUGGGGGUUGGAAAGUUUCGGCGGUUGGGGAUGGACUCGCGGCUUAUCAGCUUGUUGGAGGGGUAGUGGCUUACCAAGGCUUUGACGGGUAGCCGGCCUGAGAGGGUGACCGGCCACAUUGGGACUGAGAUACGGCCCAGACUCCUACGGGAGGCAGCAGUGGGGAAUAUUGCACAAUGGGCGGAAGUCUGAUGCAGCAACGCCGCGUGCGGGAUGACGGCCUUCGGGUUGUAAACCGCUUUCGCCUGUGACGAAGCGUGAGUGACGGUAAUGGGUAAAGAAGCACCGGCUAACUACGUG